This is a long non-coding RNA of Myotis brandtii (Brandt's bat), 3196 nucleotides long. RefSeq lists it as uncharacterized. The record is from RefSeq and is a predicted model, not a curated record. The transcript is spliced from 2 exons. NCBI's taxonomy places the organism in Eukaryota, Metazoa, Chordata, Mammalia, Chiroptera, Vespertilionidae.
GAAAGAACCCCUCUGAAUCCAGUACCAUGCUAACCAGUUGACUGACCUAAUAAAACAGAGGAUCCCAGGUCACACAACUCCAUGUCUUGCUCUUCCGGGGACUAGCUGCUAUUUUCCAGCCCAACCUUGUCUUUGGUCUACAGCUUGUCUUCCUAGCCUCUACCCCAGUUGUCUCAGCUAUGAAAUGCCACACACAUUUAGUGCCAUUUUUCUCCUCGAUUUGUUUUUCUGGGUGAGUUCCAAACGAUGGAUUCCAUUUGCGUGGAGUUGGACUGCUCUCUAAUGUCCUGCAAAGCAUUGCAUGAUUUAUUCCUGUUCAGAGCUGAUACCUUAUGAAUGAAUAGUUCUUUAUUAACCACCUAGGAAUGGUCUUUUAAGAGGGAGGUUCCUCUGCAAUUGCAGCACUUAGGGUGGCUUUGUAUAAAUGUUGGCUUGGUCACAAAACUCCAGGAUAGAAAAACACUAAUUGACGUUUGGCCGGUGGGCUGAGUAGAUAUCCCCAUUGGUAGCCAUUAAAAUUCAAUACCUAUGUUUCUACUAAAUCGGCUGGAGGCUGCUUAAUGUUAUGCAACUCCGUAUCAAAUGUAACAAAGAGCAGGACUACUGUAUACUUCAAUUGGCAGUUAGAUGACAUUGUUUAGCCCUCAUUUCAUAUCACCUUUAUUUUUAAAAAUUAACGGCACUUUGAAAUUUUCGAGUGUGUUUUUCCUGCUCAUCCCUUGUGAAGGAUUCUAAUAGACUAGCUUUGAGUGGCAGUUUCCAUGUAAUACAGACCAUCUCUAUAAGAAAUCAGAGGACUGGAAAGAAAAGCGAGUCACCCAAUAAGGUCAGAUCUGGAUUCGGCAGUUUUGUCUGAUUUAGUCUGCUUUAGGCCCCCCCUCUGAGUGAACCAGGUAGAAGUGGCACUACCUGGUAAACAUUCUGGGCCCUGGCUCCAGAAGAGAGAGCGAUCCAUUCCUAUUUCUGACAAGCUGGCAGAAUGAGGGAGAGGCAGGCUUAUUCGGAUUUCCUCCGUUGAGUAGGUCUUGGUGAAGAGCCUUAGUGUUAGCUUGUGGCUAUUUGAUUUAAGAUCAGCUUACGUGUCCACAAAGAGAAGACAGUGGGAAGCUCUGAGCAUGAAAACUCGGCUUUCUUCCUGGACUCAGAAAGAAAAAAGUCUGGAUAGUUGUUCUGGUUAGAAAGCUAAGAAGAAAAAAAAAGAGGGGAAAUGGAUAGAAUGGGAAAUUAAAGCAAAUCCUGGAUGUGGGUUCUCUUAACCAUGAAGGUUCUUUAAAAAAUUAAAUGUUCAUAGCAAUGCCAAGAAUUUUACAGACUUUUUUCAAGUUGAUUUCAAGUUGAGACUAGGAGCUUUAACUGAUGAGUUAUUAACUUAAAAAUACUCGACACACCCAUGAGCUAGCCACAAGUUAGGAAAAUUUCAAGUUUCCUAACAUGAGAAAGAAAGAGAUGGAAUACCCUUGCUGGAGGCACAAGUGCCUAUAGUAGGCUAGAAUAUAAUUUUUUAUUUUUGACUCCCAAUAAUUUUCACUUACCCAAUUACUAUACUGCUUUUAAAUGGGUUGAUCUUCUCAUAAAGACACAAACUUUGUAUUUAUUGGUUAAAGAUGUCCUGAAAAAUUCUGUAUUCAUUCUAUUAUUUCCUUGGAAGUUUUUCAUUAAUCUAGAUUACAUUUUAGGUCCAUAGAAGGAGAAGAGACAAAGAGAUAGGGAUAGAGAAACAGGGAGAAAAGGAGAAAGACAAAAAGCAAGCCCUAGAGAGAAGAGGGGGCUGGUGGUGUAUAACCUGGGAUUUUGACUCAGUUGGUACAUCAUUCAAUUGGACAAUAAUUAAUUCCUAGAAACACUGCAGAGCACACAUUUAUCCUUCUGGGACCUUGUAGAGCAGAUCUAUUACAAAAACCCAAAUAAAAAUAAACACACAUCCCCUACCUCUUUUUACCUGAUCUACUCAACUCCCAGAAAUUAGAACUCAAACCUCAAAAACGUAUUUACAUAGUAGCAUGGCUUAUUAUAAAAUCGGUUUUUGCAUUUUGAAGGUCAAGAUACUAGCCCCCCUAUUAUUAGCUUGGGGCCGAGAGCAGAAGGAAGCAAGACUACAAAAAUAGAAGGGGCAGCUUGGGGCACCAGCCUCACCUGCCAUGCAACUAGACUCUGCUGUGAGUCCCACUCUCACUUCUCAACUGGCUUGAGUUCUGUGAGAGCAGCUUUCCAGGCCCUUUGGGUAGUUGGGACAACCUGUGAAUCUAUCAUCUUUGGCUUAGAGUGAUCUCUCUGGGAUGCAGAAGCCACAGAGGGUCGGAGCAGAAAGGACUCAAGGGAAGAAAAAGGUAGCCAUCAGAAACCAAAGAUGGUUGUUUCUGUCCCUAGGCUUUUGUCCCCCCUAGUGGUACGUCCAUAUUCUAUGACUGGGUGAGCAGCAGCUUGGGACCCCGGCAGUCUGUAGCCGAGCCUGUGACCGCAGCCAGCAGAGGAGCCAUCGGCUGCUGCUCCGCUGGGUUAGGCCUCGCUACGGUGUACUAGGCAGUUCAGAGAGGAAAGAUCAAAAAUCAAAAAAGACAAAGAGGCUAAUCCAGGCAGUGCUUGUGAAUGUGGGAUCUCCUCAUGGAUUGGUUAGGUCCCAACUGCUGAGUUCAUUUCCUUUGGUUUUUGUUGAGAGUCUCAGUGUGGAUAUAUAGUUAUCUGAACCUGGACCUGAUUCUUUAUGGGGCUUUUGAAUGGAGUUAAACUGUUAUGCCCUGACUGGCCACUUACAAGGGGCCCACUUUUUCCAUCUUUUCUGCAUCUUAAUGUCCUCAGUGUCCCAGAAUCCAGGAGGGAAGGACAGGUAGGAUGUGUGUGUAGCAAGUGAGAGAGAGUCUACCCCAAGACAUGGCAGUGCCUCUCCUCACCACCAUUCUUUACGCCAGGCCUUUGAGGAUCUCAAAACACAGCAGAUGUAAAGCUGAUAAAAAUAGCAAAGUUCCUUAACCUUCAAGUCUCACAGAUCCCUGCAAGGUAGGUUAGGUUAACUAUCUGCCCCCCCACCCCCCCGCCUUUUUUUUAAUACAACCUUAUAAUAUUUACAUCUAAUAUAUUGUAGGUAGGCUGAGAAAUGGAAGCACUUCUCAACUUAUCCCUGGCUCGACCCACUAAAGAAAUACUCUGUCCAAAAACAAGACAUCCAGAGCAGGUUUUAGAAAUAGAAUGUAAUGAAAAA